Molecule: ribosomal RNA, 409 nt
Filed under: uncultured bacterium
Lineage: Bacteria
Description: bacterial SSU rRNA
Rfam family: Bacterial small subunit ribosomal RNA
Source: RNAcentral
GUGCCAGCCGCCGCGGUAAUACGGAGGGUGCAAGCGUUAUCCGGAUUCAUUGGGUUUAAAGGGUGCGCAGGCGGAUACUUAAGUCAGUGGUGAAAUCCCGGGGCUCAACCCCAGAACUGCCAUUGAUACUGAAUAUCUGGAAUACGGUUGAAGUGGGCGGAAUGUAGCAUGUAGCGGUGAAAUGCAUAGAGAUGCUACAGAACACCGAUCGCGAAGGCAGCUCACUAAGCCGAUAUUGACGCUCAGGCACGAAAGCGUGGGGAGCGAACAGGAUUAGAUACCCUGGUAGUCCACGCCGUAAACGAUGAUAACUCGUUGUUGGCGACACACAGUCAGCGACUAAGCGAAAGCGAUAAGUUAUCCACCUGGGGAGUACGAUCGCAAGGUUGAAACUCAAAUGAAUUGACGG